Molecule: long non-coding RNA, 1879 nt
Organism: Anastrepha ludens (Mexican fruit fly)
Lineage: Eukaryota; Metazoa; Arthropoda; Insecta; Diptera; Tephritidae
Exons: 4
Source: RefSeq, a predicted model, not a curated record
AUAUGCAAUAGAGUGCAUACACGCAUAAGCUGGCUGAUGUGCAUUGUUUAUUUUGUUGCUGUUUUGCAAUUAUUCCUAAAUGUCUUUAAUGUAAAGCAAAACGCUUCGACCGGAAGUUCAUUAUAAAUGCAUUGGUUUAUAUUUUUUAUAUAGUGAUGGUCUUUUAGACUCAUUAAGACUGGGAUUUUCUUGUUCACCUUAUAAAAAUCGAAUUAAUACACAAAAAUGCCUAUAUAUUUCUAGUAGCAGAAACGCUCCAAUUAGCGGAAGCACUUGGUUUAAUUCUCAACAGCAAUAAAACAUCGUGCUAAAAAUGCACAACAAAUGUGAUUACAAACCAUUAACACUGACUAUUGGUGCAAAUCAAUGAGCCCAUAUGUCACAUGCGUAUCACCACAUACAUUUAUACAGUUAUAUCCGCCUACUGUGAGCCUAACUGGAGCACAUUGGUAGCAAUUUAUGACACUCGGGCUUUGACUUAUUCCAUAUUCGUCGUUGAUUACAUGCAAUUUUAAACAUUGGAGGUGGAGGUACCUACUCGGGGGAAUAGAAUAUAAUCGCAAAAUAGAAAUUGCAAGAAAUCAAUUGGAAGCAGUACGGCGGCUGCAAUCAUCACUCUUUUGAGCUAAACGUCAUAACAAAUAUCACAUAUAAGUAGAUAUGUAAAGAAGCAAUAACAAAGCAUGUUAAGCGAAUAGAAAUAGUUUGAUAGCGUUUACUAAUUCAGUAUUAUUAUGAACUCGCUGUGCUGAGCAUGUGUUUGUUUCUAAUUCCUUAUCAGGAUUGUAUUGCUAAUUGUUAGAGCGUCACGAUAAGACGUUUGAGCCAAUAACUACUCAAAAAAUACACUACGUUAUCUCGCUGCCGAAAUAGCAGUACUGAAAAAAUAUGGACGAAGUAUUUUCACUACAUUUGGGAAAACUAGACAUUUUUGAUGUCUUCUUUCUUGCUGGCAUUCUCUCUUUGGUUAUACUUUUCUCAAUUUAAACUGGAUUCAACAACAAAUAAACAUGAACUGGAUUUCAAUGGUUAAAAUUUGCUACAAAUUUAUUAACAACAAUGGAAAAUACGCAGCGGAAGAAAACAAUUGUGAAAUACAAAGCAAACGUCAAUGAGAGACAGAACCGAAAAGAUAGAAAACGUCAACAAUAUGAGAAAAAAAAAAACAUCUGCAUAAACAGGGUUGCAUGGCUGUCGGCAUAUGAAACAAGUUUCUAAAGAAUUUAUUUGCUAUGCGCAAUGCAUUAGAAUAACUUGAUUUCUUUAAGAAAAAGACAUUAAAAAACAAUUUUUUUAUGUAGUUAUGUUUUGUCAAUAUUUUACUAAAAAUGUUUUGUAGAUUGAAAUAUUUAUUUAAAUUUGGAAAUUAACAUUGUAAGAAUUUGUGAUAAUCUUAUGCCAGAUUUUGGCUAAAAUUAAUUUUGUAUUAAUUUUAUAUGAUUACAGAAAACAUUUUAAAUUAAUUUUGCUAUAUUCGCUAUAACUGAAAUUCAGUCUAUGGCAGCUUAUUUGAUAGUCAUUUUGUUAUAAAAAGACUGAAUUGUAGAGCAUCAAAACCACACAUUUAAGAAUUGUUAAAAGAAAUUAGUUAGCUAGAGCCGAAUAAUAAAAUUUGUAUGUCAUAAUUUAACGAAGAAAAAUUGACUUUUAAAUCGUGCAUGUUUUGUGGAUACUAUAGCCAUUUGAAAUCUGAGAUAUAUUUCCUUCUACCGAAGAUUUACAAAAAAAGGUAUUGGCGUGUGAACAGGCUAUUUUUCUUAUGCGUUAAUUUAUUCUAAAAGUAGCCCAAGUAUCUUUAUAUUUUUUACAAUUAGCAAAUAGUUUGAAAGUUUCGUAGUAUUAAUUUUACGGAAAUAAAGCAGAAAGUACUACUAAUGAA